UGUUGCUAGGUAACUGUUGGGCAGGUUGUAGAAGGAAUGCUAACAUCAUGGAAUUAUAAUAAGCAUUUAGGAAAUGCUUAAAAUAGUGCUUGGUGGGUACACCCCUUGCUCACAGCUCAGUGUGAGGAAGGCCAUGCUGACUGGGUGAAGUGCAACUUCUGCCUGUCCUGGCUGCUUGAGCCCACCUUUGUGUCACCAACAAAAGCUCACUCAGGCCUCCAAGGGAGGAGACACCACCCAGCUGUGCAGGCUCAAAAGUGGGGAUAGGGGUGUGGGAACGUGUUGAAGUGGGGUAACACACACUACACACACACACACACACACACACACACACACACACACACACACACACAAAACGAAGUGUACAGAAGUCGGAAGUGACACAGUGGCUGCCAUCCCAAAAGCAGCACUUCCACCUCUGCUCCUUUCUAUGAACUCCAAGGCCAGUGGGUGUCUCUUAUCACCUUGCUUCAUCCUUCUCCAGUCUAAUGAGGUGCAAGGGUGCUACCUUCUCUUCCUGGGCCAAUGUGGUUACAGAUGAUGUGGGACUUCCCAUGUAUUAAUUAGCUUAUUCUACAUAGCAGCCCUGUGAACUAACCCCUGUGUAUAGGCUGAGGAACGUGAGGAACUUUCCUUCUGCAUUUAUUAGUUGCUAUUUCUUACAAAGAAAAUGUUUUCUCUUCGCCCCCUUAUCUCAUUAUAGUCAUCCCAAGGUUCUUCUAAAAUUCAACAUUACAAUUAUGUUCAGUAUUUAAUAUUUAGGUGUUUCUAAGGUAAUCAAUUUCAAACUGGUUCUAGGAACUUUGAUAAGCCCUAGUAUUUUGUUCAUUUUACUAUCUCACAUAAAAUUUUCCAAGUCACAUCAUACUGAUGAGACGUAGAAGACAUGUACUUCCAAAGGAAAAAUUAGCCCCAGGGCUAAAUCAUUCUGCACCAAGGUUCAGUAUAUAAUAAGGAAGGAGGGAUAACAGGAAGGAGAUAAUGUCUGUUCUCAGAAGUUGUUCAAAUGGGGUAACACCUGAAACCUGGUUUGUUAUUUUAAACUUUUAAAAUCUGUAGCUUAACCCAAGCUAACUGCUUUUCAUUGACCCUUGUAACCUGCUAGCUUGCUUCUCCCUACCCAGCAAUAAGAACUAUAUAAAAGGAUGCAGAGAGCUUUGGUUGGUACCCGUUCUCUUCUGAGCAAAGAGCUGACCAGUUGUAAUAAAGUUUUGAACCUCACCAUCAGCAGCCUGGGGGGAUGGGUGGAGGUUCCUUUUUCAGUGGUUUGUGAGGAUUGCAUCAGGCUAUAACAAUACUUUCCUGUUUUAAACCAGGACUCUGUCCUUGUUGCAUGAGGUUAUGGUUCCUUUUAGAGGACAGCAGUAUAUUGAGGACCAAAUGUGGGUUUUGUACAACAGACUGUCAAGCAGAAACAUAGCUUUCACCUUAAAGGAGAAAAGAGUUUAUUCAGGACCCAAAUAAGAACAAUCACCUGAAGGGAAUAAAAGUUUACAUUACCCCAAAUUCCACAUUCCAAUGUUGCAUCAGUUUCAAGAAGGUUUUGUUUUCUUUUGUUUGUUUUUUAUAGUAACUGAACAAAGGAAGCCAUAAAUCAAGGCACUUCCUAUGUCCAUUGAAGGAAACAUGGUUACAGUAAAGAAGAGAAAUCUCAGCUAGAGGCGCUAAUGUUCUCUGACAAAUCUUAAGCCUUUGAGGAAAACACCUAAUGACUUCUGGGACACUGGUGCACGGGACCCCGGAAAAAGGUGUGGCAGGCCCUCCUGGUUGCAGCCCUCCCGGAGAGCUCAAAAGCAGCCCCCAGGAGAAACUACAGCCGAGGGACCACAGCAACAGAACAGACUUGGGAACUGAACUGCAGCAAUGAGCCAGAAUAUCGCAGAAUAUUUAAGCUUGCAAAUCAUAAACAUCUGUGCCAAGUUAUUGUUACAUUUUCCUACCAAUCUGGAUAGGAGUUGAUUCCAGGGGCUGGAAAUGUGAACUCAGUUUCAACCCACCAGCAAGAUGGAAGACUUGUCCCUGAGAUGGCUGGACUCAAGACUACUCUCUCCUUACAGCAGAAGCUGUCUGUUCUGGAACCCAAGCUCUCUUAGGACUUAGAACUUUGAAUUUAGUUUUCCGCUAUGAUUAAAUGGAGUCUGAAAACAAAAUGGC
Rattus norvegicus (Norway rat) is the source of this 2154-nucleotide long non-coding RNA. RefSeq lists it as uncharacterized. The record is from RefSeq and is a predicted model, not a curated record. NCBI's taxonomy places the organism in Eukaryota, Metazoa, Chordata, Mammalia, Rodentia, Muridae.